This 614-nucleotide ribosomal RNA is filed under the name uncultured phototrophic eukaryote. Its description in RNAcentral is "bacterial SSU rRNA". It matches the Rfam family "Bacterial small subunit ribosomal RNA", at positions 879 to 1501 of the family's 1533-position model. The record is from RNAcentral.
ACUACGCAUGCAAAUGUGAAACUCAAAGGAAUUGACGGGGACCCGCACAAGCGGUGGAGUAUGUGGUUUAAUUCGAUGCAACGCGAAAAACCUUACCAAGGUUUGAAAUCAUUUCAAAACUCUUUGAAAGAAGAGCCUCCUUCGGGAUGGAAUGACAGGUGGUGCAUGGCUGUCGUCAGCUCGUGUUGUGAAAUGUCAAGUUAAGUCUUGUAACGAGCGCAACCCAUGUCUUUUGUUGCUGUUUACAGUGCUUAAAAGAGACUGCCGCUCUACAGCGGAGGAAGGUGUGGAUGAUGUCAAGUCAGCAUGCCCCUUAUAUCUUGGGCUACACACGUACUACAAUGGUAGGGACAAUGAGUCGCAAACCUGCGAAGGCUAGCCAAUCUCAAAAACCCUAUCUCAGUUCGGAUUGUACUCUGCAACUCGAGUGCAUGAAGGUGGAAUCGCUAGUAAUCGCUGGUCAGCAUACAGCGGUGAAUACGUUCCCGGGUCUUGUACACACUGCCCGUCACACCAUGGAAGUCGAUCCUUCCCUAAGUCGUUACUCGAACCUUUUAGGACGAGGAUGCCGAAGGCAGGGUUGGUGACUAGGGUGAAGUCGUAACAAGGUAACC